This 2597-nucleotide long non-coding RNA is filed under the name Capra hircus (goat). Its description in RNAcentral is "lncRNA (ENSCHIG00010003591.1)". The record is from RNAcentral. Lineage: Eukaryota; Metazoa; Chordata; Mammalia; Artiodactyla; Bovidae.
AUGCCGCGGGAAGUCCCCCGAUGGGGACAGCCACAUACCUUUGCUCUCCAUUUCGGUCCCUUUCGAGUGCUGGGAAGUUCAAUGGAAGUUGGCCGGAAGAUGCGGGCCCGCUUCAGAUUCCCAAACCCGGGAAGCCAAUCUGAUGAUUUCGCCCGUACUUCCUUUCUUCCCCUCAGGCUUCCUGAAAGAUGGGAUUUCUUAAACCUUGAAACUGCAAUCAGCCACCAAAGGACACUUAGCAGCAGCAGCAGAUUGCCUCUACAGGGGAGAGGUUGCGACCUGGUAUUCAUAUGCAUGCACGGAGCCCGCUCAGCUUGUUUGCUUUUUUACCUGGGUCUGGAAGCAGCAAGCAGGAGCUGUCCUCGGAACGUGGUGCUGCAGGUGUAGUGACAGAUCAUCCCACUUUGCUCUCUGGAUGGACAGCAGAUUUGCAUGGGCGCUGGCACGCAUGCGCAGGGCGUCCCCCCUCCCCUUUUCGCCGCCUCCCGCUCCCCCGCCCUUCUUUGCUUCUCUCCCCAAUACGGUCCUUAGUUAUCCCCGCUGAAGAGCUGUAGCGUUCGGUCACAGGGAGCGCUGCUAAAAAUAAACGCUGGACCGGAUUUUCCUUUGCAAACUAGCAAAUGGAUUGGAUUGGGAUUGUGUAUCAAUCCAAUACGAUUUUCCAGACGGGAUUGCGGAAGCCUUAGAGGAAACCGCGGUCUCCGAGCUGGGUAUGGUUUUAUUCAGAAGCAGAAAGGAGGAAAGAGGAGUGUAUUUGCGAAAACCGUGUAAUGGUCACAAUUUGGGGUUCUCUUCCUAGUUGCUGCAGUAANNNNNNNNNNNNNNNNNNNNNNNNNNNNNNNNNNNNNNNNNNNNNNNNNNNNNNNNNNNNNNNNNNNNNNNNNNNNNNNNNNNNNNNNNNNNNNNNNNNACAAUUUGGGGUUCUCUUCCUAGUUGCUGCAGUAACUUUCCAGGUGUAUGCCUCCUCUUCUAACCACUUCCCCCACUGACUUUACGGUUCUGUUUGUAUUUCCAUAUCUGUUUCGUUUUUUCUUCCGGUAUAGAGUGGGAGUAGCCCUGGACCUACCAAAGAUUAAUAUUCGCCUGCUGCUUUGCUACUCAGACUGAAUUUUCUUGCCUCCCUGAUAUCCCUUUGGCCUCCAACUCAAAACUGUUCCAUGAACAGGCUACAGGGCUUCUAAAUUCUCCGAACAAAGACACUGAGAACAUCCUGGGGGUGCUUUUUAGCUUCUUUCCAACAGUCUACCAAGAUGCAGAGAGACAUCUUGGCAAGGGUAGAGAGGCCCUUUAUUGAUACGAAGCUGUGUACAUAAUCAUUUUUAUAAAGAUGAAGAAGAAAAAUAUUUUUCUUGUAUAAGGUACUAGAGAAGGGUUCAAAGCCAAAAAUACUUUAUAGUGCUCUUUUCAUAGAAUAUUUUUAAAGCCCAUACUAUGAUCAGUUUAUCUGCAACCUGUGUAAUAGGGCAAUAUUUACUACCUUUUUCUUUUUCAAUAGUCCAGAUUCUCCUGAGAGAUAACUCUCUCUUUGAGAAUAAUAGUCUUCUAUUCUCAGACAUGAAAAUAAACCUAGAAAACUAGUAUAUAGAAUGGCUAAGGGAGGAGCUGUGCAGGUUAAUCCCAUAUCCCCGGUUACACAAAGACCCCUCCACAGUAAACUUCUAAUCCCAAUUUUCAAAACAUUGAAAUACAAUAAAAUAUACUGCCAACAAGAAACCUGAGUUAGACUAUAAUUCUGUCUUCCUCUGGUGAUUCAAAGGGCAUCCUGAGAUUUCUCCAGUGCCUUCGGGCCAUGAUUACAAAUAUUAAUCAUAAUGGCUCAGCCAGACAUGGACAUCCUUGUGGAGGAGACCUGUUGAUAACUGCCAUGGCUCAGCAAAGCCUGCCUCCAUUCAGCACUGGAGAAUCAAAACACUUGAGCAUGGGAUUACAGGUUACAUCCUAGGAUCUACCAAGCUUUAGGCUCUCUUAUUGCAUGCCCAAGAAAAUAUUUGGGGGGGGGGGAAUCACAAAACUCAGUAUUUGUUUACAUUUUGAUAGAUUUUUGAAGUAGGCUAUAGUGAGAGUAGAUCCUUAAGAAUAAUAGAAAAGUAGAUCCUUAAUAAUAAUGUCUUUGGGAUAAAUAAUUCCUGCUCCUAACACUACACCCAUUACAUGUUCUUUUCCUCUCAGAACUUUUAGAAAAGGAGAUAGAGUCCAUCUGUGCACACCUGUAAUAUUUAUUAUUUUACGAAUGGAGAGGCAAGGAGGGCACUUGACAAGACUCAUGUAGUGGAGCAGAACCAGACUCAAAAUCUAAGAGUUCUGGUAGCAACUCCAAGAUGAUUUCUUACAUAACCACAUCCCCACUAUCUACAGUGAAUGGGAAUGGGGAGAACUUCUGAUUUCAUAAAUUUUCAUUAUUUUUACUCAUAAUUUCAAAAACCCAAAUGCUUCAAAAUGCAAAAUCCAUGGUAUGACAUUCAAGACCUUUCUAUUACCUGGAUCCAAACUACCUUUCAGGUCUUCUCCAAGAUUAAUUCCUACACAACACUUGCCGUUCAGUUCAGGUCAGUUCAGUCACUCAGUCGUGUCUGACUCUCUGCGACCCCAUGAACUGC